RNAcentral lists this ribosomal RNA (584 nucleotides) under Trichoderma semiorbis. RNAcentral's name for it is "eukaryotic LSU rRNA". The stretch from base 201 to 354 matches the Rfam family "5.8S ribosomal RNA". The record is from RNAcentral. Lineage: Eukaryota; Fungi; Ascomycota; Sordariomycetes; Hypocreales; Hypocreaceae.
GGGGGUAUAGAGUCACUCCUAACCCCAGUGUGACGUUACCAAACUGUUGCCUCGGCGGGAAUUCUGCCCCGGGCGCGUCGCAGCCCCGGACCAAGGCGCCCGCCGGAGGACCAACCAAAACUCUUUUGUAUACCCCCUCGCGGGUUUUUUAUAUCUGAGCCUUCUCGGCGCCCCUAGUGGGCGUUUCGAAAACGAAUCAAAACUUUCAACAACGGAUCUCUUGGUUCUGGCAUCGAUGAAGAACGCAGCGAAAUGCGAUAAGUAAUGUGAAUUGCAGAAUUCAGUGAAUCAUCGAAUCUUUGAACGCACAUUGCGCCCGCCAGUAUUCUGGCGGGCAUGCCUGUCCGAGCGUCAUUUCAACCCUCGAACCCCUCCGGGGGUCCGGCGUUGGGGAUCGGCCCUUAACCGGCCGGCCCCGAAAUACAGUGGCGGCCUCGCCGCAGCCUCUCAUGCGCAGUAGUUUGCACACUCGCACCGGGAGCGCGGGCGCGGCCACAGCCGUAAAACAAACCAAACUCUGAAAUGUUGACCUCGGAUCAGGUAGGAAUACCCGCUGAACUUAAGCAUAUCAAAAAGCGGAGGAA